GAUGAACGCUGGCGGUGUGCCUAAUACAUGCAAGUCGAGCGAACAGACGAGGAGCUUGCUCCUCUGACGUUAGCGGCGGACGGGUGAGUAACACGUGGAUAACCUACCUAUAAGACUGGGAUAACUUCGGGAAACCGGAGCUAAUACCGGAUAAUAUAUUGAACCGCAUGGUUCAAUAGUGAAAGACGGUUUUGCUGUCACUUAUAGAUGGAUCCGCGCCGCAUUAGCUAGUUGGUAAGGUGACGGCUUACCAAGGCAACGAUGCGUAGCCGACCUGAGAGGGUGAUCGGCCACACUGGAACUGAGACACGGUCCAGACUCCUACGGGAGGCAGCAGUAGGGAAUCUUCCGCAAUGGGCGAAAGCCUGACGGAGCAACGCCGCGUGAGUGAUGAAGGUCUUCGGAUCGUAAAACUCUGUUAUUAGGGAAGAACAAAUGUGUAAGUAACUAUGCACGUCUUGACGGUACCUAAUCAGAAAGCCACGGCUAACUACGUG
This 497-nucleotide ribosomal RNA is filed under the name uncultured bacterium. RNAcentral describes it as "partial 16S ribosomal RNA". It matches the Rfam family "Bacterial small subunit ribosomal RNA", at positions 28 to 507 of the family's 1533-position model. The record is from RNAcentral.